This 739-nucleotide ribosomal RNA is filed under the name uncultured bacterium. RNAcentral's name for it is "bacterial SSU rRNA". It matches the Rfam family "Bacterial small subunit ribosomal RNA", at positions 102 to 828 of the family's 1533-position model. The record is from RNAcentral.
ACGGGUGAGUAAUACAUAGGUAACCUGCCCCUGUGCGGGGGAUAACAGGAGGAAACUCCUGCUAAUACCGCAUAGCCAUGAGCACCGCAUGGAGCUCAUGCCAAAUAUCCUUUCGGGGAUAGCGCAGGGAUGGACCUAUGGCGCAUUAGCUGGUUGGCGGGGCAACGGCCCACCAAGGCAACGAUGCGUAGCCGGCCUGAGAGGGCGGACGGCCACAUUGGGACUGAGACACGGCCCAGACUCCUACGGGAGGCAGCAGUAGGGAAUUUUCGGCAAUGGGGGAAACCCUGACCGAGCAACGCCGCGUGAGCGAAGAAGGCCUUCGGGUCGUAAAGCUCUGUUGUAAAGGAAGAACGGCGCAUACAGGAAAUGGUAUGCGAGUGACGGUACUUUACCAGAAAGCCACGGCUAACUACGUGCCAGCAGCCGCGGUAAUACGUAGGUGGCGAGCGUUAUCCGGAAUCAUUGGGCGUAAAGAGGGAGCAGGCGGCCGCAAGGGUCUGUGGUGAAAGACCGAAGCUAAACUUCGGUAAGCCAUGGAAACCGGGCGGCUAGAGUGCGGAAGAGGAUCGUGGAAUUCCAUGUGUAGCGGUGAAAUGCGUAGAUAUAUGGAGGAACACCAGUGGCGAAGGCGACGGUCUGGGCCGCAACUGACGCUCAUUCCCGAAAGCGUGGGGAGCAAAUAGGAUUAGAUACCCUAGUAGUCCACGCCGUAAACGAUGGUCACUAAGUGUCGGGG